Molecule: transfer RNA, 71 nt
Organism: Homo sapiens (human)
Lineage: Eukaryota; Metazoa; Chordata; Mammalia; Primates; Hominidae
Rfam family: tRNA
About the family: Transfer RNA (tRNA) molecules are approximately 80 nucleotides in length. Their secondary structure includes four short double-helical elements and three loops (D, anti-codon, and T loops).
Source: Rfam
UAGGACGUGGUGUAAUAGGUAGCACAGAGAAUUUUGGAUUCUCAGGUGCAGGUUCAAUUCCUAUAUUCUAG